RNAcentral lists this transfer RNA (72 nucleotides) under Perca fluviatilis (European perch). It matches the Rfam family "tRNA". From Rfam's summary of the family: Transfer RNA (tRNA) molecules are approximately 80 nucleotides in length. The record is from Rfam by way of RNAcentral. Lineage: Eukaryota; Metazoa; Chordata; Actinopteri; Perciformes; Percidae.
GGGGGUAUAUCUCAGUGGUAGAGCAUUUGACUGCAGAUCAAGAGGUCCCCAGUUCAAAUCUGGGUGCCCCCU